UUUGUAGCUGGGAUGGGGGUGGGGUAAGAGUGGAAUUUACGUAGUUGGCACAGAUUGGAGUGUGACCACAGCUGCCAAGGGAAGGAUGGGACAGAGUCAGUCACGUGACAGCCCAGGGGAGGGACAUUCUGGACAGAGAACAGGGUGUCACAUCUGGUUAUUGUUCCCCAGCACCUUAGAGUGAUCAGGAAGCAGCGAGUGGGUAAGUGUCCUUAUACCCAUUUUUAUUGUUGUGUGUAGGAAAGAAAAUGUGCAUAGUGAGGACCUGGCACGUACGGAGGGUUGGGAAAUAAAUGUCCUUAUCCUUCCCUUAUGGCAGUCCCUGUGCUUUUUUGAGGAGUUCCAUAACUACAUUUAAAGUUUUUUGCUGUUAUUAAAAUGUCAGUGUUUUUCUUACUACGUUGCUAAUUUAGUCAGCUAGUUUUCUUAACUAUUAUGAAAGUUUUAUCAAAUAAUAGUUAGGUUGUGCUAAGCCAUUGUUUCCUGAAAUGAAGCAGCUUCUACAGUGUUCUGUCAGGACUCAGUGUGACAGACUCCAAGGUUUGUUUCAUGCCAAGGAUCUCAUUUUAAUGCUAAAUCCGUGUCUGUCCUUAGAAAUAUUUUAAAUUUAUAGCAAGUAUACUUACUAAAGUAUUUGUUUAAAAAUAAGUGUAUUUUAAAUUUUGGUUUUUUAUGGAAGUGUAGUCAGUUUACAAUGUUAGUUUCAUAUAUACAGCAAAGCAAUUCCGCUUUACCUAUAAAAAUACAUAUUUUUAAAAAUGUCUCCCUUUUUGUGGGGGAAUUUAAAGUGGAGAUAGGUGUUUUGAAGUUAAUUCUUUGUUGAAAUUUGAAUAUAAGUCAAUAUUUUGCAUGUGAAAAUACUUGCCCUGGCUUUCCAUGAUCAGUUUACUGAAUCAAAAGCCAAAUGAAGAUAAAAGAUAGAUUUGAUCUAGAGAAUAUAAAGUUUUCUACUUAAAUGUUUGACUUCCCAAGAUAUUCUUCCCUUAUUUUAUGUCUAAUUGCUUUUAAAAUAGGAAUUUUUUUAAAGUUAGGAAUUGCAGGGAUUUUCUUACCAAGGGAUUAGGAAAGCUUUAUACAACUCAUUAUUAAUAUUGAUUUUAACAGAGUAUCUCUGAGAGUCAACCACAGAAGUUUGUGGAUAAUUCAUCUGGAGCUGCAGGUCAAACAGGAGAAAAUACAUUAAGUGAACAAAUAGAAGAUUCUACUGAAAAAUAUCCUCACUUGAAGCCUACAGUUGGAGUGA
Molecule: non-coding RNA, 1243 nt
Organism: Vicugna pacos (alpaca)
Lineage: Eukaryota; Metazoa; Chordata; Mammalia; Artiodactyla; Camelidae
Source: RefSeq, a predicted model, not a curated record